Anas platyrhynchos (mallard) is the source of this 7063-nucleotide non-coding RNA. NCBI's taxonomy places the organism in Eukaryota, Metazoa, Chordata, Aves, Anseriformes, Anatidae. The record is from RefSeq and is a predicted model, not a curated record.
AAAACCUAAGCCAGCUAUCUAAAUACCACUUUUUGAAAGAGAGGAGUAAGGUCUUCAUUGGGAGUUUGAGCUAGUGGUUAAUAGAAGGCUAAGAGAAAGAAUUUAUACAAAAUUAGCUAAAACAGACAGCAUGCUGCCAAGGCAAAAGAUGUGGAGGAUAUAUUAUUUCAUUAACCUUCAAAAGAUUCCUGGUAUGUAUUUCUGAAGAAUCAGCAUGGGGAUUGUGGGGGAGGAAGAGAAAGUUAUUAGUGGGGGAAAAGAAUACCAUUGAGUUUUGUGAAAGCUAACAAAAAAACAUGACUUAAUGCUGACAAGCACCAAACUGGCUGCUCUGAACCUAUUUCUUCAAAAAGACUUUUUCAAAAUUUGGGUAUACGUACGUAGCCAGACAGCCAGGUAUCUUAUUUCAAAAGAAAUCCUUUAACGGUUAUAAUACAGAGUUUCAGCACCUUGAAGAUUCUUACCAUUUUUGAAGUUGCACAGUAAUGAAUACAGGCUUCCUCAGGAGAGGAAGGAGGAGGAGAAAAAGAGGGCAUAGAUGAAGAGUUGCCUGCUGAGUAGGAUAUUCUCCGUGGUGCCCAGAGAAAUCCCAGCUCCAGUCCAGGUCAACAGCUACCCUAACAAAUGCUCUAAUCAUCGCAGGGUUGCACCUCCCCCUCAUUCUCCUGCCAGGAGCUGCAUACGAGACAAAUUUGGUGUCUAUUUUGAGGCUCCCAGGCAGCCCCCAGUGAGAGGCAGGUAUCUAGAUAUUGGGCUCUGCAAGGGCUGUUGUGCAACUGGGUAUGAGCUAGUCAGAGGGUUUUUGUAGUGGUGGUGGUGGUUCUAAUGGAAAUUUAGAUGUUUGUGGUCAUUUAAGCAAGUAGAAGAGGUGCUUGUGCUCCUUUUAGGUACCUCAGUUAUGCCUAUUUGAAAAUUCAGAUGGAUGUGUGCAGUUUUUUUUCCCCAGCAAAAAGGCCAAUUUAAGGCAGUUGUUCUUCCAGCUUCACUUUCCUGACCCCUCAGUUGCAUCAACUGGAACUUUUUGCAGGCCCUGUCUAAAAACCAAAUGAGAUAAAUCAUAAUUUAUGUCUUAAAGAAAUAACUAAUCUAGCUCUCAGAAGAAUGUGACAUCCCAAUGAAUGUGAGACAUAAUGCAACAAAGAGGAAGUGUCCCCUGCUUUGGUGCCAGAGGAAACUUUCCUGUAACAAAACACAGAUACCUAUUACCAUAAAAGGGCCUUAUCUUCUCAUUUGUGUAGUGUGUUCACAUUACACUAGUAUUGUCAGGUUUUAAUUAAACAUUUGGAAAUUGCUAUGGAUUCUUCCAAGAGAGAAGCCAGUAUAAAUAAGACAAUUACACUAAAAUGGGUGAUGAAAUAAGUAAGUGACAGAAGUAAUUCUAUUUGUUACAGAAACUCUCUCUAACAUCUGAUUGUCUUUCCUUCAUAUUAUUAAAAUAAAGUCCUACUUUCCAAACGUAUGUAUGCAGAUCAUUUUUAAACGCAGAGAUUACAGAAAAAGGUAAUUCUUUUAAGAAGAGAAUUGUGCUUGGUGGAAAGGGUAGGCAUCUGUCAGGCCCAGAUAAGAUCAGACAGCUGUGCUCUAUCCUGAAAGGGUAUUGUGAAGCUAAGUUUUCCUAGGGAAAUAAUGUCUUUGGUAUGAAAAGCAGCAAAAUGUAAUGAAGUCUCCAAGCAAAUAAAUUGAGAAAACAGGAAGUCUCAGAGCUCAUUUUUAUCUAAAAUACCAACACUAUAUUGGGAGAAAAAAAAAAUAGAAUGAGAGGAGGAUAACAUCUGAACCACAGUGAAUAAUAUGGAGCAGGAAGAUCAUCUCACUUCAUAUUCUCAAUCAAAUUAAUCCUUUAGAGUAAAAACAAAGUCAAGAGGCGACUUCAGCAACAAUAACAACAGGCUGCUAGGAUAAGAAGAGCGCUGGGACACACAACUCUUAGGAUUAGCAACAGGGUGGCUACAACAGAGACAAGGAAGCAAGCCAGGCAGAAAUCCAGUCAGUGUUGCGAAACAGCUAAAGGGGAAGGUGGAGCCAGGCUGUUCCAAGAGGUGGGCAGUGAAAGGGCCAGUAACAAUAAUCACAAAAUUAAGUGAGGGAAGCUUGGGUUUGACUGAUGGAAGAACGUUCCUCACCGUGAGCGUGGUUAAGCACUGGAAUGGGAAGCCGGGGAAGCCUCCCCCUGGGGGAUUUUCAGAACUUGACCUGAGUCAGCCUCACUCUGAAAAUGGAAUAAGUACUGAAUACCUCAAGAAGUCCUCUUAAGAUCGUUUUUGUAUGAUCCCUAUGGAAUGAUAAGCUUAUGGUUUACUGGGAAGGAGAGCUGUAGACCAGAAUCAUAAGAGAAACUUCAUAAAUGCAAUAACUUCAUGGGAAAAAAUCUCCUAUGCAUCUCGGGCAGUGCCAGGAUUGGCAGUGAAAAUGAGGGGCAUCCAGGAAUGCAUGUCAACAGGAAAGCAAAUAAGAUUCCUGGAGAAAGAAAGAACUGAAUGUGCCUCCAAAAGGGACUUCCAGUAAGAGAUCUGGUCUUCUUCAAAACCAGUUUAAAAGAAAAAGAGAACAGUGAUUUCAAAAACAUUGCUCACCACCUCCCUCUGCUGAGAGUUCCUGUAUGUACCAGCAGAAGUAGAUAAAUCUUGGAGGUACCACUGCUUCUGGACUGCAAGUGAAUCUGUGGAAAGAAAUGCAUUCAUAGAUGAACAGAUGACCUGAAAGUAUCUAUAUAUUAUAUAAUCCAUUUAGACAUCCAUUCUGAGUGAUUGAAGACAAUAUCAGCAGGUAUUUGAUCAUUAGGUGUCAUUAACACAUGCAUAAAGAUAAGUAUUUAUCUGUUCCACUACAAUGAAAGUUCAGAGGUUUAACAUCUCUACUUUAAGAGCUUCUCUGGUUUAGAUUUUCAUAUAGAUGGAGGCAUUAUGAGUCUGAAAUGAUGUGUAAUGUUAAAAAGGCCCAAAAGAUUAUAGCAGUAAUAUUUACUCUAAAGUUUGCCUGGCACUUGUGAGGCAUUGCAAAAAUUCAUAAUUUCUCAACACAAACCUCCCUAGUCUUCCAGCAAGCAUACUUCUAUAUCUUUAAAUAAAAUAAACUUAAAUUAUGUGGGUUGUAGGUCAAAAAUUUAGAGCACUGAGCAGAUUAGAACAACAAAUUGGCUAUUGCUCAGUCACACACACAGGUGUGACCCAGCAGAGGUCAACAGCCAGACAAUUUGUUGAAGCAUGGAAAGUUUAAAAUAGACUGUGCAAGUGUAGUUUAUAUAAAUAGGUGAUGUACAGUUGCCUUCUAAGGCCAAUACAAGUGUAUUUAUUACCUAAAAUUAAACUGACCUAUGCAUGAAGAAACCAUGAAAUAUGAAGAAGCCAGCAGUUUUAUGAAAGAAAUUAAGUGGUACUUUACAAGAUUAUUAGAACUUCCAUUGAUUUUGUGAAUAAUUGGGUUCCUUGAUUAUUUUGUCUGUCUUCCCAGACAUUAAGUCAUCCCUUAUAAAUGAAAUUUAAUUACUGAUUAAAGAGAACAUGAGCACAUCCCCAAGCACAGUAACAGGGCUUGUGGUAGCACAACAAUUCAGCAGCUCCCUGCAGCAGCACACAGAACCCAUCCAAAAUUAGAUAGAGCCCCAACGUACUGCAAAACUACACUUUGCUGGCUCUCCCUGUGUUAUCAGGGAAAGCCACAACACCCAGGGGGUGAAAUCAGGUAAGUGUAGCUUGUGUUCCUACUUCUCCCUUAAAGCCAAUGUUCACAUACCCACAGUGCUUUAUGGACAAGCCCACGGUCUGGGCACGGGCACUCAUCCCUGCUGACAGCCAGCCUGCUGGCCUUGUCCUUCAGGGGCGCCCAGGGAGAAAAGAGGGCUGCAUUCUGCCUCAUCCAGGAAGAAAUGAGUUGAAAUGAUAGGAGAAAAGUAGCACAAACUGUAGGGUUGGUAGGAGCCAGGACACCACAGUACCACAGGUCACAAUGCUGCAUAGUUGUUCCAACCACUCUGAGGUUAGGCAGAUGUCACAGCACCUGGAUCUAGUCCAAAGUAGUAAAAUCAGAUCUAUUUCAAGAUAGUUAUGUCUCCUUUCAGUGGAAGAAGGGUUCCCUGAAAAUUUUACAUCGAUGUAACUACAACCAAACACCCUACCCAACCAUGACAUUUCUGUAAAGGCUGCAGAGCCACAAACAAGAUCUGGACUCAGCAGCUGCCCGUUAUCUGUGCCAGUCAGAGAUGCCAAAGAAGGCUGAUUUAAAUUUAAAAUCCUAUGAUUUGGAUAUUUAAAAAUGUACAUUAAAAAAUAUAUACAGACUCAAAUCAUUACUGAUUAAUUUUAUAAAUACAUUUUGGCACAUUUUCCAUGCAGCUUAACCUUUUGAAAAUAGUAGCUAUUACUGGGCCAAAAGCAUCUUUUAGGUUUAGAAGGUCUUUAAAUUCUAAACAUACCUGGUGCUUAUGUUUCAAAUAAAGAUUAAAAGCUAGUAAAAAAGUUUCACACUGAGCUAAAUCCACACCAGAAUGGUGUUAUAAAUAUGCAGAGGCUACAGGGAGUAAAAACAGGGGGGAAAAAAGAGUUCAGCAAAGAAAGCUCCUUUCUUUUCUCUUCAGGAUCAAAUGCCAUCUCCAGAUCCAAAAGAAAAAGGUGAAAACUAUCAAAAACCACAUAGAAUGGGAAUCUGCAGCAAAAUUUAGAACAGAAAUAUUCUUCAGUGAUGUGUAAGAGAACAAGGAAAUAAGCAGCAGGGAUGCUAUAAACUGUGGUGAGGAAUAAAUUAAAGCUGAUCUAGCUGUGACUAAAAUUUGCAGAGAUGAUAUUUAGAGUGUCCAGUUUUAGGCGUUCAACCUACAUAGCUCAAGAGGGAAUCUUUUAGUUUCUGCCUCUAAAUUAUACACCGUGAUUCAAGUUUAAACCUUCUAGAAGGUGACAUGCAAGUCCCUGUGAAUACUCAGUGAGAGGAGUACUCAAAACUUGCAGUGAGGAUGAGAUGGCUAAAGGCAAUAAGGUUGAGGAAUGGAUGUUACUAAAACCAAGUAAAGCUUGAUGUUCUCAAAGUGAAUACAUCCAGCAAUCACCUUUCUUGAAUAAGGAAGGCCUGAUAGUUUGGGUUUUUUUGGACAAAUUGUUCCAUCAAAUUAAGGCUUGAAAGAAGAAAAUAUACUGUUUGUUGGACGGUUGGACAGAAUAACUGGGGAAUUAUAGAUUCAUUCAUCUGACCUCAAUAAUACUCAAGUCUUUAGAACACACUGAAGGAUUUUAAUACAAAUAAAUGGAAACAAAAGUAAUGGUCCCAUACAGCAACCAGAAUAGAUUUUGCCAUGCUUGUACACUUCUACAAGAAAGGGAGAUGCUAAAGGAGAUGAAGAGAACCCAAACAAGACACUACACCUAUUUGUAGGCUAAUGAGCAUCUGCAAGGCAAACGUGGAGGCACCCUGUUCUCUAUAAUACUCCGUUUGUAGCUGUGAAUGCUUGCAUUAAUGCCAGUUAAUCUGCAGAGCUAUGAAGUGAGAGAAUGGAGUGUUGGCCACGGGACUGGAGUUAGCUGCUGCACUUCAAGCACCGUAAUUGAAUCCUACACAGCCUCCUGGACUCCACCAGAACCAAGCAGAUGGAGCCUCACUAAGCUGCUUGUUCAAAUACAAAUACAUAAUAAAGAAAUACACAUUAAGGGGUUGACACAACACCAAAGCAGAGGAAUGGGAAUGGUUUUACUAGAAGUGCUUCUCACUUAAACCUUUUUGGGGGCGCUUCCAAUAAAGUGAAGAAUUCACGGUUUGAACCAGGAGUAGCAGAAUAAAAUUGAGUCUAAGUAAAACCAGCUUACACUUAAGAUAGAAAUAAUAAGAUAAGAAGAAAACCAAGUAAAAGACAGUCUGACUGCUUUUAUGUAAUGCAUCAGCUUCAAGCAGCUCUGCAGUUUUCUGAGUUUUUGGAUCCUUGCAAUUAAGGCAGAACUUAUCCAUUAUAUCCUGCAGUACAAGGAUGCCUUUUAGCUUGCUUUGGGGUGUUUUUUGGGUUUUUUUUUUUUGGAAAGACUUGUCACUUCUCUCUUUCAUUCCUACUCCAGCUGAAAUUUGGACACCCCUUCCCCCUUUCCAGCAAAGCUUUAGAGAACAAAUAAAACAAGGAUGAAAAACUCUUUAGCUUUUUAGUUUAAAGAUAUUUAUGCUCUCAUUUGGCUCCCAUUUUCUUUCUUUCUUUAAAAUCCUUGAAAUCUUACAGUCAGUAGAAAACGUGCAACUUAAGUAUCUCUUUCUCCUGAAACCAUAGCAGAAACCAUCCAUCCUUCUGGGAUAAACAAGCUGAGAUAAAACUCUUUUGUUCUCUGUGCCACAACUGAAGAGAAAUUGCUUGCACCACCGGAUUAUAACUUCAUUUUAAAGUAGUUUUCUUAAUAAGUGAAAAGUGGGAGUCAGACUAUAGAAAGAGAUGGGGCAGAGAAAAAAGAGAACAAGAAACACAAGAAGAAUAAACUUCAGAAGACUUCUCUACUACCUUACGGAUAUCAUAUUCUAAUUUUGACAUACUUCCUACUCACAGAGUCAUUUUGUCCACAAAUGUUUUUGUACCAGCUCUUUUAAUUUUAAGAAUAUUUUCAAAGAGUACUACCUUACGCAUUGUAUCUCCCUACACACGGCCCUACUGUUUUGUCAGGAUGCAUUCUUGACUCACUGUAUUAAAUACCCUGAGGACAGUAUUAGCUGCAACACAGAUAGGUAAGGAAGAGGAUGUGAAAUGGAGUCUUAAUUCUGAAUUCCCUGACCAACCUUGUUGCUCAAAUGGAAAUAAAGAGUAUGGGAGAAAACCAAACAGGAGAAGGAGAACACAGUUUUCUAUUCUUAUUUAAAGGAUAACGAUGUCCUAAGGGAACCAAUAAAAGAAAAUGAAAUUGUACAAAGGACAACUCCAGUACAUCUAGUAAACCUUGUAGGAAAAAACAACAACAAUCAAUAAUAAAAAACUAUUCACAAGAAUGCUAAAUAAAGCCAGCUAGGAGUAGAGCCUUUUGAAAUGCAUAUAUUGUUUUCUGGGUUUGAAGACUUCAAAAAUCAUUAUUCAUAAUCCAGGUUGAAAUUCAAUAAAGAUAUUUGCCCAGUG